Molecule: RNA transcript, 1259 nt
Organism: Oryza brachyantha (malo sina)
Lineage: Eukaryota; Viridiplantae; Streptophyta; Magnoliopsida; Poales; Poaceae
Gene name: flavonoid O-methyltransferase-like protein Os11g0303600
Exons: 2
Source: RefSeq, a predicted model, not a curated record
AUGGAGAAGGUUCAACCGACCACACCCAUGGAAGCCUCCUCCUUCAACUCAGAGUUUCUGCAAGCACAUACAGAGCUUUGGAUCUUACCUUUAGCUACCUCAAGGCCACGGCGCUUGAGUGUGCUGUCAAGCUCGGUAUCCCCAACACCAUUCAUCGUUGCGGUGGUGCUGCCUCACUAUCAGAACUGGUCAGCUCCAUCCCAGUGCCUGAAAGCAGAAAGCCUCACCUGCCUCGUCUCAUGAGAUUUCUUACUGCGGUAGGUAUUUUCUCUCUUGACAUGUCAACUACUGAGGAAGAGAUAACUCAGAAGGUCACAUGCAUGUACCGCCUUACGCCAUUGUCUCGUCUCCUCGUGGACAAUAGCAUCAGUGGGCAUGGAAGCCUCUUUCCAUUUGUGCUCUCCCAAACCACCAAGUACCAUGUGUCAGCAGCAAUGCAUCUAUCGGAGUGGUUCAUGACUGAGGACAAAGAGGUGGCCAUAGAGAUGCCAUUUAGGGCUGCCCAUGGCACAGACUUAUGGGGUGUUAUGGCUCGUGAUGCUAACAUGAAUGAGGUGUUCAAUGCUGGCAUGGGUUCUGAUAGUCGUCUUGCAAUUGAUUAUAUUAUUAACAAAUGUGGUGAGGUGUUUGAUGGGAUUAGCUCAUUGGUUGAUGUUGGUGGUGGUACUGGCACAUCAGCAAGGGCCAUUGCUAAGGCUUUCCCACAUAUUAAAUGCUCAGUAUUGGGCCUUCCAAAUGUUAUAGAUACUAUCACGGUGGAUGGAAUUGUUGAGUACAUUGCAGGUAACAUGAUGGAACAAAUCCCUCCGACUGAUGCAGUGUUGCUCAAGUAUAUUCUACAUGAUUGGAAUGAUGAGGAUUGUGUGAAAAUCUUAAAACAAUGUAGAAAUGCUAUUUAUUCUCAGAAAUCAGGAGGAAAAGUUAUCAUCAUAGACAUAGUGGUUGGAUCAUCUUUGAAAUCCAUGUUUGAAGCUCAAGUUUCGUUUGAUUUAUUGAUGAUGGUGAUAACAUCAGGCAAGGAACGUGAUAAGCAUGAAUGGCAUAAGAUAUUCAUCGAUGCAGGAUUUACUCAGUACAAGACAAGGCCAGUUUUGGGGUUUCUAUCGAUCAUUGAGCUCUAUCCAUAGAAGGAAUCAAUGUUUUCUUUUUAAUAUGCAUGUCUUAGGUUGGGUCUAAUAAAGUGUAUAUGCAUGUCUUUGUUAGCUUGCAUACUUACAAUUAUCUAGUUAAAGUCCAAGAUGGAAACUAAUAAAGCCAAU